Molecule: ribosomal RNA, 691 nt
Filed under: uncultured bacterium
Lineage: Bacteria
Description: bacterial SSU rRNA
Rfam family: Bacterial small subunit ribosomal RNA
Source: RNAcentral
ACAGUUAGAAAUGACUGCUAAUACCGCAUAAGACCACAGCACCGCAUGGUGCAGGGGUAAAAACUCCGGUGGUAUGAGAUGGACCCGCGUCUGAUUAGCUAGUUGGUAAGGUAACGGCUUACCAAGGCGACGAUCAGUAGCCGACCUGAGAGGGUGACCGGCCACAUUGGGACUGAGACACGGCCCAAACUCCUACGGGAGGCAGCAGUGGGGAAUAUUGCACAAUGGGGGAAACCCUGAUGCAGCGACGCCGCGUGAGCGAAGAAGUAUUUCGGUAUGUAAAGCUCUAUCAGCAGGGAAGAAACUGACGGUACCUGACUAAGAAGCACCGGCUAAAUACGUGCCAGCAGCCGCGGUAAUACGUAUGGUGCAAGCGUUAUCCGGAUUUACUGGGUGUAAAGGGAGCGUAGACGGAUAGGCAAGUCUGGAGUGAAAGCCCGGGGCUCAACCCCGGGACUGCUUUGGAAACUGUUUAUCUAGAGUGCUGGAGAGGUAAGUGGAAUUCCUAGUGUAGCGGUGAAAUGCGUAGAUAUUAGGAGGAACACCAGUGGCGAAGGCGGCUUACUGGACAGUAACUGACGUUGAGGCUCGAAAGCGUGGGGAGCAAACAGGAUUAGAUACCCUGGUAGUCCACGCCGUAAACGAUGACUGCUAGGUGUCGGGUGGCAAAGCCAUUCGGUGCCGCAGCAAA